AACCGCGGACGGCUCAUUAGAACAGCUAUAAUUUACUUGAUCUUGAACAGUUACUGGAUAACUGUGGUAAUUCUAGAGCUAAUACGUGCACCAAAGCUGUUCCUUCGGGAGCAGUGCAUUUAUUUGAGCAAAACCAAACGGCUUCGGCCGUCUCUGGUGAGCCAGAAUAACUAAGCUGAUCGCAUGGGCUUGUCCCGGCGACGUGUCUUUCAAGUGUCUGCCUUAUCAACUUUCGAUGGUAGUGUAUCGGACUACCAUGGUGUUGACGGGUAACGGAGGAUAAGGGUUCGACUCCGGAGAAGGGGCCUGAGAAAUGGCCACUACGUCUAAGGAUGGCAGCAGGCGCGCAAAUUACCCAAUCUCGGUUCGAGGAGGUAGUGACGAAAAAUAACAAGGCCGUUCUCUACGAGGCCGGCCAUUGGAAUGGGUACAACUUAAACCCUUUAACGAGUAUCAAUGAGAGGGCAAGUCUGGUGCCAGCAGCCGCGGUAAUUCCAGCUCUCAAAGUGCAUAGAACCAUUGCUGCGGUUAAAAAGCUCGUAGUUGGAUCUGUGCCGGUGACGUGGUUCACUCGUAAGGGUGAUACUGCGCUCACUGGCUUUGGACCGGUCUUCGCGGUCGGUAGUCUUUAUUGGCUGCCGCCCGUGGCUGGUUGGUUUACUUUGAGCAAAUCAGAGUGCUCAGCACAGGCGUCUUGCCGGAAUGUUCGUGCAUGGAAUAAUAGAAAAGGAUUUCGGUCCUCUUUUGUUGGUUUUGUGGACUGAGAUAAUGGUUAACAGAGACGACCGGGGGCAUUCGUAUUGCUGCGUGAGAGGUGAAAUUCUUGGACCGCAGCAGGACGAACUACAGCGAAAGCAUUUGCCAAGUGCGUCUUCAUUAAUCAAGAACGAAAGUCAGAGGUUCGAAGGCGAUCAGAUACCGCCCUAGUUCUGACCGUAAACGAUGCCAACUAGCGAUCCGCCGGUGGCCCUUAGGCCCUGGUGGGGAGCUUCCCGGAAACGAAAGUCUUCCGGUUCCGGGGGAAGUAUGGUUGCAAAGCUGAAACUUAAAGGAAUUGACGGAAGGGCACCACCAGGAGUGGAGCCUGCGGCUUAAUUUGACUCAACACGGGGAAACUCACCCGGCCCGGACACCGUGAGGAUUGACAGAUUGAUAGCUCUUUCAUGAUUCGGUGGUUGGUGGUGCAUGGCCGUUUCUUAGUUAA
RNAcentral lists this ribosomal RNA (1204 nucleotides) under Nematoda environmental sample. RNAcentral describes it as "SSU rRNA". It matches the Rfam family "Eukaryotic small subunit ribosomal RNA", at positions 85 to 1301 of the family's 1831-position model. The record is from RNAcentral. Lineage: Eukaryota; Metazoa; Nematoda.